Molecule: ribosomal RNA, 447 nt
Filed under: uncultured bacterium
Lineage: Bacteria
Description: partial 16S ribosomal RNA
Rfam family: Bacterial small subunit ribosomal RNA
Source: RNAcentral
AACGAACGCUGGCGGCAGGCUUAACACAUGCAAGUCGAACGAUCCUUCGGGAUAGUGGCAGACGGGUGAGGAACACGUGGGAACAUCCCCUUCAGUUCGGAAUAACGUUGGGAAACUAACGCUAAUACCGGAUACGUCCUUCGGGAGAAAGAUUUAUCGCUGAAAGAUUGGCCCGCGUCUGAUUAGCUAGUUGGUGAGGUAACGGCUCACCAAGGCUACGAUCAGUAGCUGAUCUGAGAGGAUGAUCAGCCACAUUGGGACUGAGACAUGGCCCAAACUCCUACGGGAGGCAGCAGUGGGGAAUAUUGGACAAUGGGCGCAAGCCUGAUCCAGCCAUGCCGCGUGAGUGAUGAAGGCCUUCGGGUUGUAAAGCUCUUUUGUCCGGGAAGAUAAUGACUGUACCGGAAGAAUAAGCCCCGGCAAACUUCGUGCCAGCCGCCGCGGUAA